GGAAGAGUGGCAGAGUGGUUGAAUGCAACGGUCUUGAAAACCGUCGUGGGUUUACGCCCACCGUGGGUUCGAAUCCCACCUCUUCCGCCA
This 90-nucleotide transfer RNA is filed under the name Alphaproteobacteria bacterium. RNAcentral describes it as "tRNA-Ser". It matches the Rfam family "tRNA". From Rfam's summary of the family: Transfer RNA (tRNA) molecules are approximately 80 nucleotides in length. Their secondary structure includes four short double-helical elements and three loops (D, anti-codon, and T loops). RNAcentral also lists the same sequence under 1 other name. Lineage: Bacteria; Pseudomonadati; Pseudomonadota; Alphaproteobacteria. The record is from RNAcentral.